UACGGAGGGGACUAGCGUUGUUCGGAAUUACUGGGCGUAAAGCGCACGUAGGCGGCCCGCUAAGUCGAACGUGAAAUCCCCGAGCUCAACUCGGGAACUGCGUCCGAUACUGGCGGGCUUGAAUCCGGGAGAGGGAUGCGGAAUUCCAGGUGUAGCGGUGAAAUGCGUAGAUAUCUGGAGGAACACCGGUGGCGAAGGCGGCAUCCUGGACCGGUAUUGACGCUGAGGCGCGAAAGCUAGGGGAGCAAACGGG
RNAcentral lists this ribosomal RNA (253 nucleotides) under uncultured bacterium. RNAcentral's name for it is "partial 16S ribosomal RNA". It matches the Rfam family "Bacterial small subunit ribosomal RNA", at positions 524 to 776 of the family's 1533-position model. The record is from RNAcentral.